CAGCCGCCGCGGUAAUACGAGGGGGGCAAGCGUUGCUCGGAAUUAUUGGGCGUAAAGGGUGCGUAGGCGGUUUGGCAAGUCUUAUGUGAAAUCUUCAGGCUCAACCUGAAGUCUGCAUAGGAAACUACUGGGCUUGAGUAUUGGAGGGGUGAGUGGAAUUUCCGGUGUAGCGGUGAAAUGCGUAGAUAUCGGAAGGAACACCUGUGGCGAAAGCGGCUCACUGGACAAUUACUGACGCUGAGGCACGAAAGCGUGGGGAGCAAACAGGAUUAGAUACCCGAGUAGUCCCUGUCUCUUAUAC
This 301-nucleotide ribosomal RNA is filed under the name uncultured bacterium. RNAcentral's name for it is "partial 16S ribosomal RNA". It matches the Rfam family "Bacterial small subunit ribosomal RNA", at positions 509 to 807 of the family's 1533-position model. The record is from RNAcentral.